UGUACUUCUUGAUAAAAGGUGACUGAGAAGAUAGGAAGGUGUCUCAUCACACACUCCAAUGCGAGAGGCUCCCUGAGACUCUUCUCUAAUUCCUGUCUCCCCAAGUCUCAGUUCUAAGCAAACCCUUUUGUUCCAGUCACCUCCAAGCCCUUGUUCCUCAGUUCCUCCUUCCUGUCUACCCGUCCUCCGAUCACUAUUUCUCUCCUUUUCCCUGACUUCAAAUUCUUUCUCUCCAGUCUCUAUCCCGAACAGACACACACAGACACCCAGUCACACAGACAGACAGACAGACACACACACACACACACACACACACACACACACACCCUUUCAGCCUCUUUUUCCACUCACACUAGCACUACAGGGAACAGAACACACAAGUGGGAUUUGCUUAAUAUCACAUUACAACUUAGACACACUAAAAAUGCGGUGUAUCAUGUCUUUCUAUAAGUGAUAUAAACUGCCAUAGAAGCUCUCUUUCCCACCUUGCAGAUGGCUGGGAAAGAGAAGAACAAACUUGCCAGAUGAAGACUCGUGGGCAGAGAAGAGAUUACUUACCUCCAAGGAGCAUGCCCGACCCCAGGGCUGGCACCUCAGAGCACAGGCUGGUCUUCCAAGUCCUCAAAGCUACCCCCGCUCAUCUUUCAAGUGCCCCUGAUGGGCUAAGCUGGGGUUCAUCUCAUCUGCUGCUACCAGGACCCUAGGAGGCCUCUACUUUCAAUUCCUGCUGCAGGACAGGAUGCAGAAUGCAAGGGUUGUGGUGGCCAUGGAGGUUUCUGCUCCAAUUUCAGAAGAUCUGGGGACCCAAACAAUGUAUCUUUGUGAGGACAGUGUAUGAAGAGUGAGGCCAAAUGUACAGUGGACACUCCAGGAAUUUGGAGGUCCCUUCUGAAGAUCCUGUAACUCUGCAAGGACAAGGAAAGAAACAAGAAAUUGUAUUUGUGAAAUGAGUUACCUGUCUAGGUGCUGAAACAGUCCAUGGCAAGCAGGGCAGGCAGAAGGCAGGAGGGCGCAAGCAGCAAGCAAGCCACAAGCAAAGACCCUCUGUCUUUCCAUUAUGUUCCACGCAGAACACACACACACACACACACACACACACACACACACACACAGUGGGGCACCCUUACUCCUACCCAGGACUGUGCCAAAUCAAUCAGGGGAUCAAUU
This is a long non-coding RNA of Chinchilla lanigera (long-tailed chinchilla), 1167 nucleotides long. RefSeq lists it as uncharacterized. Lineage: Eukaryota; Metazoa; Chordata; Mammalia; Rodentia; Chinchillidae. The transcript is spliced from 6 exons. The record is from RefSeq and is a predicted model, not a curated record.